RNAcentral lists this ribosomal RNA (417 nucleotides) under uncultured bacterium. RNAcentral's name for it is "bacterial SSU rRNA". It matches the Rfam family "Bacterial small subunit ribosomal RNA", at positions 958 to 1392 of the family's 1533-position model. The record is from RNAcentral.
AACGCGAAGAACCUUACCUGGGCUUGACAUCUAUUUGCAACACUCUGAAAGGGGUGCCUCCUUCGGGACAGAUAGACAGAUGCUGCAUGGCUGUCGUCAGCUCGUGUCGUGAGAUGUUGGGUUAAGUCCCGCAACGAGCGCAACCCUUGUCCUUAGUUGCAUAUCUAAGGAGACUGCCGGUACAAAACCGGAGGAAGGUGGGGAUGACGUCAAGUCAGCAUGGCUCUUACGUCCAGGGCUACACACACGCUACAAUGGACAGUACAAUGAGACGCCACCGAGCGAUCGGGAGCGGACCUCGUAAAGCUGUCCUCAGUUCAGAUUGCACUCUGCAACUCGAGUGCAUGAAGGUGGAGUUGCUAGUAACCGCGUGUCAGCAUAGCGCGGUGAAUAUGUUCCCGGGUCUUGUACACACCG